GGUGGCUCAGUGGUAGAGUGCUUGCCUUGCAUGCAUGAGUUCCUGGGUUUGAUUCCCCAGCACCA
Molecule: transfer RNA, 65 nt
Filed under: Dipodomys ordii (Ord's kangaroo rat)
Lineage: Eukaryota; Metazoa; Chordata; Mammalia; Rodentia; Heteromyidae
Rfam family: tRNA
About the family: Transfer RNA (tRNA) molecules are approximately 80 nucleotides in length. Their secondary structure includes four short double-helical elements and three loops (D, anti-codon, and T loops).
Source: Rfam by way of RNAcentral